GAAACCGGAGAGCCGGUUGAAGCGCCCCCGCCCGAAAUGGUUGAGCCCGAACCCGGGCUCUCUCCCGAGGAACUCGAACAGCUCAAACGCGACUAUCUGCUGACCCGGUUCUGGAUCAGCGCGCGCGGCUUUUGGGGCCGUGGCGGAGGCCGCCUGGCGUGGACGUUGAGCUUCGGCCUGCUCGCGCUGAUCGUUCUGCAAAUCA
RNAcentral lists this unclassified non-coding RNA (205 nucleotides) under Hevea brasiliensis (rubber tree). The record is from RNAcentral. Lineage: Eukaryota; Viridiplantae; Streptophyta; Magnoliopsida; Malpighiales; Euphorbiaceae.